UACAACAAACACAUAUACAGUACACCAAACACACAUACAAAUUAUGAAAAAAAGGAGGACAAUUACACACUCACACAAAGGCAAGCAUUAAGCAUUUAAAAUAUAUGUGAUUACAAAGACGGAUCAAGGAUUUAGUUUAAGGGUGUUACAUCAGCAGAGAUAUAUGUCACCCUAAGGAACCAAACAACAAAAUAGAUUAGCUCACAUAUUAUCAUUUCUUUCAUCGGUAAAGGGUUAGCCUCUUACUCAAUAAUAGAGAUAUUGUCGUGCCUUUCAGAGUUUAUGGUCUUGUGCCCUGGACAACAGGCUGAUAAAAGUGAAUAGUUCUAUUAUAUGGUGCAUUCUGUCGAGUCGCCAAACACCUUGCUUUGACAGCGUCCUUGCAUGGAUGUAUCACAUGCUGACAACCAAUUCACAAAAUGGUCCCCAUAAUAAGGGUAAAUAGAUCAGCUCAACCAAUUGUCACAAAAAGAUUUAAGAAAAACCAAAAAGAUAUUUAAUAAAAGAUGAUAGAAGGAAGUUACAGGAAAAUUUUAGUUUCUAACUUCAAUAAAUUUGUUGCUUAUGUGUCCAUUCAGUCAUACCUUGCAAGUUUUUGUUCUCUAGCUCCCUCUAUAUAAAGCCAUAACCUUGGUUUAAAAUGUAGAGCAGU
RNAcentral lists this long non-coding RNA (652 nucleotides) under Aquilegia coerulea. RNAcentral's name for it is "long non-coding RNA (ACOE_LNC000156)". Lineage: Eukaryota; Viridiplantae; Streptophyta; Magnoliopsida; Ranunculales; Ranunculaceae. The record is from RNAcentral.